CCUACGGGAGGCAGCAGUGAGGAAUAUUGGUCAAUGGGCGAGAGCCUGAACCAGCCAAGUCGCGUGAGGGAAGAAGGUACUGAGUAUUGUAAACCUCUUUUGCCAGGGGACAAAGGCGGCCACGGGUCGCCGUAAGAGGGUACCUGGAGAAAAAGCAUCGGCUAACUCCGUGCCAGCAGCCGCGGUAAUACGGAGGAUGCGAGCGUUAUCCGGAUUUAUUGGGUUUAAAGGGUGCGCAGGCGGAGGGGCAAGUCAGCGGUAAAAUUUAGGGGCUCAACCCCGGCCUGCCGUUGAAACUGGGGUGCUCGAGUGGGAGAGAGGUAUGCGGAAUUCGUGGUGUAGCGGUGAAAUGCAUAGAUAUCACGAAGAACCCCGAUUGCGAAGGCAGCGUACCGGCUCCAAACUGACGCUGAGGCACGAAAGCGUGGGUAUCGAACAGGAUUAGAUACCCCUGUAGUC
This 459-nucleotide ribosomal RNA is filed under the name uncultured bacterium. RNAcentral describes it as "partial 16S ribosomal RNA". It matches the Rfam family "Bacterial small subunit ribosomal RNA", at positions 338 to 795 of the family's 1533-position model. The record is from RNAcentral.